AAUUUGGAUUAAUGCCCCAUGGUAUUUUGGAGUGGCAUCACUUUAUUAUUAAAGAUUUAUCGGUGGAAGAUGGGCAUGCGUCCCAUUAGCUUGUUGGUAAGGUAACGGCUUACCAAGGCAACGAUGGGUAGGGGUCCUGAGAGGGAGAUCCCCCACACUGGUACUGAGACACGGACCAGACUCCUACGGGAGGCAGCAGUGAGGAAUAUUGGACAAUGGGCGCAAGCCUGAUCCAGCCAUGCCGCGUGCAGGAUGACGGCCCUAUGGGUUGUAAACUGCUUUUGUACGGGAAGAAACCACUCUACGUGUAGGGUACUGACGGUACCGUAAGAAUAAGGAUCGGCUAACUCCGUGCCAGCAGCCGCGGUAAUACGGAGGAUCCAAGCGUUAUCCGGAAUCAUUGGGUUUAAAGGGUCCGUAGGCGGCCCAGUAAGUCAGUGGUGAAAUCUCCCGGCUCAACCGGGAAAUUGCCAUUGAUACUGCCGGGCUCGAAUUAUUGGGAAGUAACUAGAAUAUGUAGUGUAGCGGUGAAAUGCUUAGAUAUUACAUGGAAUACCGAUUGCGAAGGCAGGUUACUACCAAUACAUUGACGCUGAUGGACGAAAGCGUGGGUAGCGAACAGAUUAGAUACCCUGGUAGUCCACGCCGUAAACGAUGGAUACUAGCUGUUGGGAGCAAUCUCAGUGGCUAAGCGAAAGUGAUAAGUAUCCCACCUGGGGAGUACGAACGCAAGUUUGAAACUCAAGGA
RNAcentral lists this ribosomal RNA (748 nucleotides) under uncultured bacterium. RNAcentral describes it as "bacterial SSU rRNA". It matches the Rfam family "Bacterial small subunit ribosomal RNA", at positions 155 to 907 of the family's 1533-position model. The record is from RNAcentral.